UACGGAGGGUGCAAGCGUUAUCCGGAUUCACUGGGUUUAAAGGGAGCGUAGGUGGGUUGGUAAGUCAGUGGUGAAAUCCCCGAGCUUAACUUGGGAACUGCCAUUGAUACUAUCAGUCUUGAAUACUGUGGAGGUUAGCGGAAUAUGUCAUGUAGCGGUGAAAUGCUUAGAUAUGACAUAGAACACCAAUUGCGAAGGCAGCUGGCUACACAAUUAUUGACACUGAGGCUCGAAAGCGUGGGGAUCAAACAGG
Molecule: ribosomal RNA, 253 nt
Filed under: uncultured bacterium
Lineage: Bacteria
Description: partial 16S ribosomal RNA
Rfam family: Bacterial small subunit ribosomal RNA
Source: RNAcentral